RNAcentral lists this ribosomal RNA (342 nucleotides) under uncultured bacterium. Its description in RNAcentral is "bacterial SSU rRNA". It matches the Rfam family "Bacterial small subunit ribosomal RNA", at positions 28 to 361 of the family's 1533-position model. The record is from RNAcentral.
GACGAACGCUGGCGGCGUGCUUAACACAUGCAAGUGGAGCGACGAACCGGGGCUUGCCCCGGGGCAGAGCCGCGAACGGGUGAGUAACACGUGGGUAACCUGCCUCAAUGAUUGGGACAACCCCGGGGAAACUCGGGCUAAUACCAAAUGUGUUCACUCCUUCUAAGGGGAGUGAGGAAAGGAAGCUUCGGCCUCCGCAAUUGAGAUGGGCCCGCGGCCCAUUAGCUUGUUGGUGAGGUAACGGCUCACCAAGGCUUCGAUGGGUAGCUGGUCUGAGAGGACGAUCAGCCACACUGGGACUGAGACACGGCCCAGACUCCUACGGGAGGCAGCAGUGGGGAA